CCCCGCCCCGCCCCCCCGCAGAGAUUUAACGUAAACUGAAAAGGGAACCGCUGAAAAGUCCCCGCCGACUCUUCCCGGGUCGGGGUUCGGGGGGUCCCGCAGCCUCGGGGUGAAUCUCGGACCCGGAGACUCGGGGAGACCCCGGCCCGUCCGUGGGGAUUGGGGGUCGGGACCUGGACCCGGGCCCGCGGCGCUCACCGGCCUCGCUCUGGUUGUAGUAGCCGCGCAGGGUGUUCAGUCUCACUCGCUGUAGGCCUGAGGACCCUCUUUCCUUGACAACUGUCAGCGAGGAGCCAGAGCAGGACUGCUCCCAACACCUACUGGUCACCAGCAUUCUUCGCCAUGCGGCCUCCAUUUUCAAAGCCCACAAUUGAGAAAAACCCUCACGUUGAAUCUCUCUCACCUUUGAAUCUGUUUGCUCAGGAAGAACCCAGUGCUUUUACGGGCUCACCUGAUUAGGACACUCCCACCCAGGACAAUCCCCUUGUCUUCAGAUCAACUGAUUUGAGAUCUUAGUUACAUCGGCAAAAUCCCUUCUCAGCAGCAUCUAUGUUAGUGUUUGGUUGAAUAACUGGGGGGAAAGAGAGUAACCAGAAGGUAGUUGUUGUGGACCAUCAUGGAAUCAGCCUAGCGCAGCCUGGUUCUUCCUUUGUGUUUAAUUGGGUCAUGGUUAGAAAUUUAAGUUCAAAUAAACAGAUUGUUGUGAAUGGUAAUAAAAUGCAUCCUGUUUAUUA
Non-coding RNA from Equus caballus (horse), 734 nucleotides. The record is from RefSeq and is a predicted model, not a curated record. Lineage: Eukaryota; Metazoa; Chordata; Mammalia; Perissodactyla; Equidae.